GAGAAAAAUUUAAAGAAACCAAAUUUGGGGUACUUCCUGAUAUUUCCCUCAUUUCUCUUUACCCACAAUUGCUAUUUAACCUGAUUUCAGUUUUGUCUCCCAGUCCUGAAUCGAGUUCGUUCCUGGACACCUUCCUGGUUGUUCUGAAUUUGUAUAAUACUUGGUACUUCAGGUUUUCAAAUAGGUAAUAGCUAAUGGUCCUGAAGGGGGGGCUCUGCAUCGCACACCCCUUUCAGACAAAUGGAACCCAGACGACAGUGGUUGUGUUCUGUUCUAAGUACGUGUUGGGCUGGGGGUGUGGGGUGGAAAUCCUAUAAAAUUGGAUUGUGAUGAUCGUUGUACAACUAUAAAAUAAUAAAUUCAUUGAGUAAUAAAAAAAAAUAAGUAUGUGUUGGGGAGCCUCAGAGGUCCUAGAGAUGUGCAAAGUUCAGACUGAUUUUGUAGUAGAACUAAUAAGUUAUUUACCUUCGACUAUCUCAGUCUCUCAUGAACGUCCAGAGGAGUUUUCGAGAGGCUACAUGCCCUGUGAUAUUGUAACAGAUUACACAGAGCAGCAGAUAUGAGAAUCUAGCUUUUUUUUUUUUAAAGCCAGACCUUUAGGUGAUUUGUAAAAUUGUAAAACAGUGCCACCUUUUUCAAUAAAUUUGUUUGGGGUUUGGAAAGCAUAGCUUUUUUUUUUUUUUUUAAAGUUAUUUAAAUUAUCAUGCUUUAUGACGGUUAUUCUAAGUGAUAAUAAAUAUUUUAAAAAUUAUUGGUUUUAAUUUUCAAUGCAAUGAAUGUACGUGGAUGUUUCUGGAAGAACGUGUGUGGUUUAAACGAGUUUCUAGUGUUCUAAGGGACAGUAACUUUGAGAACUUUGCCUGUGUUUCUCCCUCCGAGAGAAUACACAUUUUAUGGUUCCUCAUUUCUGAAAGAAAACUAAAAACACCAAGUUUGUCUCAAUGCCCCAGUUUCUAACAACUAUUUCUUUACUCCUUUCAGCAAAUGAGAAGGAAGAGAAAAAGCAUAACUGAAAACUGAGAGUAUUUAUGUCUUGGACAUAGCCAGAGCCCAGAUUGGGACUUGAACACAUGGUUUUUAAGUUGGUAUCACUCAUGGAGUUCCUGUCGUGGCUCAGUGGUUAAUGAAACCAACUAUCAUCCAUGAGGACAGGGGUUCAAUCCCUGGCCUCGCUCCAUGGGUUAAGGAUCUGGCAUUGCCUUAGCUGUGGUGUAGGUCGCAGAUGCAGCUCAGAUCCUGUGUUGCUGUGGCUGUGGUGUAGGCUGGCGGCUACAGCUCUGAUUCGACUCCUAGCCUGGGAACCUCCAUAUGCCGCCGGUGUGGCUGUAAAAGACAAAAAAAAAAAAACAAAAAACAAAAAACAAAACCAAUAAAACAAAAAACCAAAACAAAAAACCCAAAAAACCAAAAACUUUAAAUUGGUAUCACUCAUCUGAUGCUUGGACUUACUAAGGUUCAGAUUCUUUGUGCCUCGGUGCAGAAGGAAUUCAGCAAGAGACAAAAUGAUAGGCAAAAAAAUAGAUUUAUUUAGAUAAGACACUUGUGAGAGAUGCAAGCAGGCAGGCAAGGAGGGUCUGGCCGAGGAUUAGGUGGCUACAUUUUUAUCAUCUGAGGGGAGUGAGGAUGAGAAAAGGCUGCUUCUUCCUCUUUCUUGGAGUUGUAGCCCCUCCUUGGUACCUGCUAAGAGAGUAUUUGACCCUAUAAGGUCAAACUGGGACGGUCAGGGUGCCUAUUCAAAUCAGCAGAAGGGCGGUCCUUAAACUCCUGCCCUUGGUCUGAACCUGAAUGCAGGCCUCACCCCACCCCCCACCCAAUGACCUGAGGCAUAUCUCGCUCUUCCAUAUCUUGCUUAGCUCUUCCGCUAAUCAAGCAAGCCUGCCUCCUCCUAAUGGGCCUCUCCAGCAAUUAUUAACUUACUGUGACCUCCCAAACUAGGUUUCCCUCUCUAGGUCUCUCACUGGGACUUCUGCAGCUACCUGUGUAACUAUCCUCCGUCCCUGUCACAACCACACUGACCCUAUAGCCCGAGAUUUGUAUCCUCUUUCAAGCAGGCGUGCCCCAGGGGACACCCCAAUUCAUUCUUUCUUACUCUUUAAACCAAUAGCUCUAUAUUAAAAUAGAAUAUGAAAUUGUUAAGUGAAAGCAAAUUCUCCAAGCAUGUAGAUUCUUCACACUGUAGCUUUAAAAGCACUGGAACACUAUAAACUUUUCCAGCAGAAUGGAGCCCUUUUAAAACACAGAUAGAGCACCGAUUGCUGACAGAAUAAAGCCUAACCUCCUUGGCAUGGCAUUGGACUUCCUUCCUCUAUGAUCUGGGUCUGUCCUACCUUUCCUCUUGUCUAUCAUUUCUUCCCCCCAUCCAGCCUCCAACUCAGGGCACAGUUUGGUCCUGGACUACCUGCCUCUAGAUAACCUGCAUCACUUAACGCAGUCUGUGCCAAAUUUACUGACUCAGAAUAUCUAGCCAUCAUGCCGGAUAAUCUGUGUUGUACACAAGAUCCAUCCCCCGCAUUGUGAUUCCUAAUAAAUCCUAAAUGUUGAGGGCUCCUGCUCCAGCUCCAAAUGAUAACUCAGUGGUUUUCAAGAUUCAGGACAAAUGCUCCUUUCUCCAGGUAGUUUGCUUGAAUAUUCACCAAGAUGGAGUCAAUGGCCCAUUUCCUGGUGCUUCCCGCUUGAGUCUGUGAUGGCACAGAUUUCAGGCUGCUUUCCAUUCAGGUCAGUGGUUUGCAUAGUCAUCCCCCACCCCCUCCAUCCAGAUUCUCUCUCUCUUCUGCUCUGUAUUCCCAAGGCUCUCAGUUGUGUUUACGGUGCUGUGCACAUAGUAGGUCCCCAGUGAGGGCUGGCCCUGACGAACCCUGCUGCAGAGUCAUUCCUUAGAGAGGACAGUUUCUGGGGACCAGCAGCAAUAAGCAAGAAAGCACAGCAGAGGGAAUUCCGUUAUCGUUCAUGGUAGAGAAACGUCGUCAUAGGUAUACGCUUUCUCUUUCCACAACCUGCGUGUAACACCAAAGAAUUUAUAACCACCUCCCUAUAGGCUGGUCCUUUAUCCACCACUCAAAGACAUGAUGAUUUUCUAGAAGAAGUUUAACAUCUAAGGGUAGAGGUGAGGGUGUGGAGGGCAGGUGGCAGGACCCCUGAGCAGACCUGCCAGGGUCGGUGCCCUCUGUUUCUUCUGCCCUGUCUUUGUGCCAAGCCUUUCCUAUUCCCAAGGCCUAUUUAUGAGGGAGGGUGGGAGGGAGCUGUUGAGGCCCAGGGGCUUGGGCUCUACUGCACAGGGCAUGGGGGCCCAGGGACCCCCUUCCUCUGAGUGCAGGAGCAGAAGGCAGAAGCAAAAUGUGCUGGUAACAUGUGAGAUGCCUCUUAAAUGGAGAAAAGAAUGGGCGCUGUGACCUCAUUAAUAUAUAUUCGGUCUCUGCCCUUGACACAGAGCUUCAAAAACCCUUAGAAUUUCCAGGAUGAUAAGAGCAUCACUUGUUCUAAUGAGGCUACGCUUUGUGGGCCCCUGGAUAACCUCAGAAGAGGCCUGGUCACCAGAAAGACCAGCACAUUUGGGGGGCGGCUGUGUGGCUCAGGCACCUUUGGGGGGCGGCUGUGUCCACUCUGGGGUACAAAUUCAUUUCUGGGUCUGCCCUGUCUGUCAGCUUCAUGCUUCGUUGCAGGGGUGGGAGUACAGCGGUUCUGACGAGCAGAGCAGGGCCUUGGCCCCCAGAGUUGCCCUGGGAGGGUGAGGAAGGCUUGAGAAAAGAUCUGAGGCACAGGAAGGGCAGGGAAGGUGCUGGCACGGCCACUCUAAGCCAGCUAAAUUGUCAUUAGCCAAGAGAGGAGGGCGCACUCCUGCGCAGGUGCCUGGGUGCCAGGAGGGGCUGGGGAGAGAAUGAAAAGGGGGUUCCCAAAUGGGAGGGGAUUGACUGUCCUAAUGGGAGGGGUGCAAAGGGCACAGCGGAAGAGGGGGAUUCGGUGGGGUGGGGGGGUCAGUGUUUCCUCUGCCAGGACAUGGGG
RNAcentral lists this long non-coding RNA (3999 nucleotides) under Sus scrofa (pig). RNAcentral describes it as "lncRNA (ENSSSCG00065039384.1)". Lineage: Eukaryota; Metazoa; Chordata; Mammalia; Artiodactyla; Suidae. The record is from RNAcentral.